Molecule: long non-coding RNA, 318 nt
Filed under: Anas platyrhynchos platyrhynchos (common mallard)
Lineage: Eukaryota; Metazoa; Chordata; Aves; Anseriformes; Anatidae
Description: lncRNA (ENSAPLG00000030464.1)
Source: RNAcentral
AUAUACACAUAUGAAAAGUGGUGAUUCAUUGGAGAGUGUGGGAUCAGAGCAUGACAUAAAUGGUGUCAUAUUAAUCUGAGGAUGACAUUGCAGUGUCAUUCAGAAGGAAAACCAAUUACUACUGUUUGAACAUUACUACUAUGGCAAUGAAGAGAGACCAAUACUUUACUUGUCAACUAAAGCUACGCAGUCCCAGGAUGUGAAAUGUUGUCCAGUCUCUGAGGUAAGAGAAUUAACUUAGAAGGUGCAAGUGAAAAAACAAAACAAAACAUUUUUCUUCUUUGGAAUUUCACAAGUUUACUAAUUUUACAGACAGCA